This 725-nucleotide long non-coding RNA is filed under the name Pan troglodytes (chimpanzee). RNAcentral's name for it is "long non-coding RNA NONPTRT005214". Lineage: Eukaryota; Metazoa; Chordata; Mammalia; Primates; Hominidae. The record is from RNAcentral.
GUGUGCCGGCCUCGUGGACCAGCCUGGGCUCUCGCUGGAGGAAGUGGCUUGCAAGGAGGCUUGGGAGGAGUGUGGCUACCACUUGGCCCCCUCUGAUCUGCGCCGGGUUGCCACAUACUGGUGAGUGGGACCAGGCCCUCAGGCCUGUGGUGUGACUCAGGAGAUGGGAGAGAGUGAGGGCCCCGUCCCUGGGAGUGUGCAAGCAGGAUGGAUUCCUCCUUGUUUUCCAACAUGGGAUUAGGGGAGGGUUGGACCGAAUGCACCUCAGAUCCUAAGCCAGGCCAGAAUCUGGGCUCUUGGGGCUCUCUCUGCAGCGUCUCGGCCCCAUGCCCCCAGCCUGCGGCCCCCAGCCGUGUGAGGCAGGCCGGGUGAACCCCCGCCCAAUCCAGGCCCUAUAGUCCCUCCUGUGUUCUAGGGGUUUGGUGUUGACAAAACCCUGUCCCAGACCAUGGCCCGCCAGGCAGGAAGGACAGGGGUGAGAGGUUGCUAUUCGCAGAGGAGGCAACUGAGUCCUGGAAGGAUGGGGGUGAGAGGUUGUUAUUCACAGAAGAGGCAAAUAAGUCCUGGAGGCUGGCCCCUAGGGAAGAAGGGGAGCUGGGAGGGCUGGCAGGUGGGGUGAGGCAGGUACCGCCCCGUCAGCCAGCUCAGGUUCACUCUGGAUGACUUCCUGCCAUCCAGGUGUAGGGACCCCAGCUGGCGGGCGGUGAGGCCCUGUCGGCGGGCGG